The sequence is a transfer RNA, 73 nucleotides long. It matches the Rfam family "tRNA". Rfam says of the family: Transfer RNA (tRNA) molecules are approximately 80 nucleotides in length. Their secondary structure includes four short double-helical elements and three loops (D, anti-codon, and T loops). The record is from Rfam.
GCCGGCUUAGCUCAAUUGGUAGAGCAACUGACUUGUAAUCAGUAGGUUGAGGGUUCAAGUCCUUUAGCCGGCA